GGUUCGAGCCAGCUGGCAACAACAAAACAAACACGUGGGCCCCAGCUGACUUGGAUCGCAUUGAUUGACUGGUAAAGUCUGAAGACAGGAGUCUCCUCCUGCUAAAGUCUUCACGAUCUAUUAAUAGAUCUAUCAUCACCCAUUUCUUUCAGCUAGUCUCACUAAAUCUACGUACACUUGUCGAUCUCAGUCUCGCCCUUGCUUGCUUCUCCAUCUUGUUAUAUUUUCUGUUCAAGUACUGCUGCUACGUGAUUCCCAUAUUUGAACACUGAACCGCAACUUCAAAUUGACCCCAAACUCAGCAGGACAGUAGGUUCAAUUGGAAAUGGGCACAGAGAGCUCUUCACCUCCUCGGUGGAAAUAUGAUGUCUUUUUGAGUUUUAGAGGCGAGGAUACUCGAAAGGGUUUUACAGACCAUCUAUACACUGCAUUGGAUCAUCAAGGAAUCAUAACUUUCAGGGAUGAUCCUGAACUUCACAAAGGGGAAGCUAUUUCUCCAGCACUUUUUGCUGCAAUUAAAGAAUCAAGAUUUGCCCUCAUUGUUCUCUCACAAAAUUAUGCAUCGUCGACAUGGUGCUUGGAGGAACUUGUGAGAAUUCUGGAAUGUAUGAAAGCAAGAGAAGCUGUGCUGCCAAUUUUCUACGAUGUUGAUCCCUCUGAUGUACGAAAGCAAACAGGGAGUUUUGGUGAAGCCUUUGCUAAUCAUGAAGAAAGGUUUAGCGAUGACAAGGAGAAAGUGCGGAGGUGGAGAUCUGCAUUAACAGAAGUGGCAAGUUUCUCAGGGUGGAAUUCAAAGGAAUGGUAUGAAUCAAGGCUCAUUACAGAUAUUGUUGAAGUUAUAUGUAAAAGAUUGCAACCUACAUCAUACAGUUAUGCAGAAAAUCUAGUUGGAAUUUACUCAAGAUUGCAUCGAGUUAAUUCGCUUUUAAGUGUAGGGGAGGAUGACGUCCGCUUCAUUGGUAUAUGGGGAAUGGGCGGGAUUGGUAAGACUACUAUGGUAAGAGCGGUGCAUGAGAGAAUCUCUCAUGAAUUUGAAUCUAAUUUCCUUCUUACGGAUGUUAGAAACUACUCCGUUGAAAACGGUGGUUUACUUAAUCUGCAAAAGCAACUUCUCUCUGGGAUUGGGGCAAAAAACGUUGACAUAUUUGACCUUCAUCAAGGAGCCACCAUAUUACAGAAGUUAUUACGUCACAGAAGAGUUCUUCUCAUUCUUGAUGAUGUGAACCAUUCAAGUCAUUUAAAAUAUUUGGCAGGAAACCAAGAGUGGUUUGGUUCAGGGAGUAGAGUUCUUAUCACAAGUAGAAAUGAGCAUUUGUUGAUUGAACAUGGAGUGGAUAAAAGAUUGAAGGUCGAAGAAUUAAAUGAUGAUGAUUCUCUUCAACUUUUUAGCUGGAAAGCAUUCAAAAGAGGUUACCCUGAAGAAGAUUUUCUUGGUUUGUCAAAAUCUGUUAUAAGUUAUGCCAAAGGUCUUCCUCUAGCUCUUGAAGUACUGGGUUCUUUUUUGUAUGGAAGAGAUAUAAGUGAAUGGAAGAGUGCACUGGAAAAACUGGGAAGAGUUUGUAACCCGAACAUUUUUAAGGUCCUUAAAGUAAGUUACAAUGAUCUAGAUUCCGAAGAGCAGAAAAUUUUCCUAGACAUUGCAUGUUUCUUUAAUGGACGGGACAAAGAUCAAGUAACGGAAGUACUAAACAGUUGCGAUAUUUCUGCAAUUAUUGGAAUAAAAGUCCUCAUAGAAAGAUCUCUCCUAAAUGUUUCGGAUGGAAGACUAAGAAUGCACGAUUUGCUCCAGGAAAUGGGUCACAACAUUGUCCGCGAAGAGUCUGGUAAAGAGCUGGGCAGGUGCAGUAGGUUGUGGGUUCUUGAAGAAGUCAAACAUGUCUUGACCAACAAUACUGGAACUGAAGCAAUAGAAGGUAUAAUUGUGGACUCAAACGAGUUAGGAGUAGACGUGGACGUGACUCCAAAAUCAUUUUCAAUGAUGACCAAAUUGAGAUACCUGAAGAUCGAGAGUGGGAACCUGUCUAAGGAACUUGAGUAUCUUCCAGAUAGUUUACGGAUUCUUGAUUGGACGAGGUAUCCGUUAAAAUCUUUGCCGUCACAUUUCAACCCUCGGAAGCUGCUCCAACUAAGCUUGUCUCAUAGUUGUAUUAAAUAUUUUCGGAUAGGAACGGAGCCUUUAUACAAUUUGAAAACCAUUAAUCUAAGUCACUCUCUGAAUCUUGUCGACACCUCAAACUUUAAAAGUAUGCCACAUCUCGAGUUUCUGUUUCUUGAAGGUUGUAUAAAAUUGUCUGAGGUUGACCCAGGAAUUGGAGAGCUUAAAAGACUUACUGUGCUGCACUUGAAAGAUUGCAACAAUCUUGUGGGUCUUCCAAGCAGUGUAGGUGGCUUAAAAUCUCUCAAAUAUCUCAAUCUUUCUGGUUGCUCAAAGCUUCAGAAAUUGCCAGAUGAGUUGGGUCAUGUUUCUUGUUUGGAGGUGCUUGAUUUGAGUAGAACUGGCAUGAUAGAAGUGCCCUCCCCUAUUGUUCAUUUGGAAAACCUCAAAAAAAUUUCUCUUGCUGGAUGUAAUUUACAUCGGUCAUCAACAUUAUGGAAUAUGCUUGUCCAUCAGUUUUGGCAACAAAGAAGUCACAUUCCGGUAGGAUUGUCGUUGUCUCGUUUGUCGGUUUUGCAUUCAUUAACUGAAUUGAAUGUAAGUGAGUGCAAUCUUUCUGAAUUGCCCAGUGAUUUUGGAUGCUUGUCUUCAUUAAGAAGAUUAGAUCUCAGCAGAAAUCAAUUCAUUACACUACCCGACAGCAUCGGCCAACUCUCUAGACUUGAAUCUCUUCAGUUGCAUUGGUGCCUUAAGCUUCGGACAUUACCAGAGCUUCCAUCUCUUGCAUCGGUAGACGCUAGCCACUGCAUUUCAUUAGAAACUUUGGCCAAUCAAAUAGGACAAUGUAAUUCGGUGCUAUUCGGAUCUUUUGUUAACUGUUUCAAACUGGUGGAGAAUGAAAGCACUGGGAGUAUAGCAGUUGCAUUGUUAACACGCUACCUUAAGAGUAAAGCAUUUUCUGACCAUAAUAAUAGAUUUAACUGUAUUGUUCCUGGAAAUGAAAUUCCAGAGUGGUACAAUCACCAAAGUGUGGGGGAUUCGAUAACCGUAGAGCUGCAACCAGGUUGGUUAAGUAACAAGUGGAUGGGAUUCGCCUGGUGUGUCGUUUUUAGAUUCCUCCGACCACAGCCGCCUUGGGCUGGGAUGUUCUUUAAUUGCAGACUUGCUGCCAAUGGAAAACCCAUGCCCUUCAAUUUUCAAUUUUUUGGGCCAGAGUGGGGAGCUCGAGAGUGGGGAGAGUUCUAUGCAAUUAAACCUGUGUCAGAUCAGAUUUGGUUGUCGAAUUUGCACCGUGAUUUUUGCAAACAUGAGUGGCAGGAUAUCUACUAUCGGCUUGAUUUCUCAAUUCAAAUCAACUACAUCGACAUCGAAAGGAGUGAGGACCGAAUGAUAUAUACGGAAGUUGUGGAAGUGAAGAAGUGUGGGGUCCGUAUGGUAUAUGAGGAAGAUGCAGAGGAGCCUUUGGAAACAUUAUUGCAGCAGAGCAAUGUCGGCAGUUUUACCAAGCGACGCCUUCAACACUAUGAUGGUGAUGAUGACGACGACGAUGCAUCAUCUAGUAGUGCAAGUCAAGCUCAUCCAAAAAAAAUGAAACAACUCCACCUUGACGGCGCAGGACCCAGUGGAACCCCUUAUUCAUGACCAGAAUCGGAGACCCCAACGAAUCAUCGAAGGAAAAGACAUUGAAAAAGCAGGGGAGCUGGAUUACCGUUGGGCCGAGUUCGAUGACGUCCGGUACCACAUUCAGGGCUUGCGGGGAUCAUCUUAUUGUCAUUGGCGGUCCUAGGAAUCUCGGUGAAGGUUUCAUCGAGAUCAAUGCUUGGGUUCCGAGUGAAGGUCCUCCGCAGUGGAACUUGCUUGCGAGAAAGCAAUCCGGUGAUGAUGAAAAACCCACACAUUGUGCUGCUUUUUUUCGCUGCCGGCCCCACCUCCGGAAACUGUGUUCUUGAGUGGGCUUCCUGCUGGGGCUAUAAACGCUGCGUAUGGAUCAGUAGUGCAGAUUCUUGACCCACC
Molecule: RNA transcript, 4108 nt
Organism: Rosa rugosa (rugosa rose)
Lineage: Eukaryota; Viridiplantae; Streptophyta; Magnoliopsida; Rosales; Rosaceae
Gene name: disease resistance protein RUN1-like
Exons: 7
Source: RefSeq, a predicted model, not a curated record